GAUUAUGGCUCAGGAUGAACGCUGGCGGCGUGCCUAACACAUGCAAGUCGAACGGAGUGUUUCCACCCGACAGAUCAUCUUCGGAUGAGAAGUCAUCGGAAACACUUAGUGGCGGACGGGUGAGUAACGCGUGGGCAACCUGCCCUGCACUGGGGGAUAGCGGUUGGAAACGACCGGUAAUACCGCAUACCUUACAUUUGCCGCAUGACAGAUGUAAGAAAAUGAUUUAGUGGUGCAGGAUGGGCCCGCGUCCGAUUAGUUAGUUGGUGGGGUAACGGCCUACCAAGACGACGAUCGGUAGCCGACCUGAGAGGGCGGACGGCCACAUUGGGACUGAGACACGGCCCAGACUCCUACGGGAGGCAGCAGUGGGGAAUAUUGCACAAUGGGGGAAACCCUGAUGCAGCGAACCGCCGCGUGAGCGAAGAAGUAUUUCGGUAUGUAAAGCUCUAUCAGCAGGGAAGAUAAUGACGGUACCUGACUAAGAAGCCCCGGCUAAAUACGUGCCAGCAGCUGC
RNAcentral lists this ribosomal RNA (517 nucleotides) under uncultured bacterium. Its description in RNAcentral is "bacterial SSU rRNA". It matches the Rfam family "Bacterial small subunit ribosomal RNA", at positions 15 to 518 of the family's 1533-position model. The record is from RNAcentral.